UACGGGGGGGGUAAGCGUUGUUCGGAAUUACUGGGCGUAAAGGGCUCGUAGGCGGCCAACUAAGUCAGACGUGAAAUCCCUCAGCUUAACUGGGGAACUGCGUCUGAUACUGGAUGGCUUGGAUUCGGGAGAGGAAUGCGGAAUUCCAGGUGUAGCGGUGAAAUGCGUAGAUAUCUGGAGGAACACCGGUGGCGAAGGCGGCAUUCUGGACCGACAUUGACGCUGAGGAGCGAAAGCCAAGGGAGCAAACGGG
RNAcentral lists this ribosomal RNA (253 nucleotides) under uncultured bacterium. RNAcentral's name for it is "partial 16S ribosomal RNA". It matches the Rfam family "Bacterial small subunit ribosomal RNA", at positions 524 to 776 of the family's 1533-position model. The record is from RNAcentral.